This 945-nucleotide long non-coding RNA is filed under the name Homo sapiens (human). RNAcentral describes it as "HSALNT0322220". The record is from RNAcentral. Lineage: Eukaryota; Metazoa; Chordata; Mammalia; Primates; Hominidae.
AAUUUGUACUUUACUUGGAGACUAUCAUAAAUUACAUUUCUUUCUUAUUCAUAAUCUGAUCUAUGUUUCAUUUAAAAAAAUACUGGUAAACAUAUGAGCCAUAGUAGUUUCAGAAGAUACUGAAAGAGAGAGGUAUGUUAAAAGCUAGUGAAGUAUUACCUAAGAGAUCAUGAAUGCCUGUGAUAGUGACAGGAGACAGAAAAACUCCUAGGCAAGCAGAGUCAGGAAACCCGAUCCUCAAACCAAGGACAGCUUAAAGCCUGAGAUCCAAGCUGCCAGUUCCAGACAGAGUCCACAGCUGCAGUGAGAACUAUCCCUGUCUUACCCACUCUCUCUCAAUUGGUUCCUUCUGAAUGAUGCCCUUUAACCAAUCCAAUGGUGCUUUUUCCAAUACCACCCAUGGACCAAUCAGCAUGCACUUCCCCAUUCUAAGCCCAUAAAACCCCCAGGACUCAGCCUCACAGAUGGCUAACCGGCUUUCAGGACAAGAACUUGGAACUUGCUGAGCUGGGGAUGGUGGGAGUAAAAGAGUUGUAACCUUCCCUUCUGCUCCCCAAACAAUGUGAGAGAAGAAACCAUUGGACGCCACUCUCUCCUGUUAGCCCAACUGCCAGAGCGAAAAAGUUGUGACGUCACUGGCUUACCCAGCAAGCUAACUGUGGGAGGUGGGAGUAAAAGAGCUGUAACCUUCUCUCCCACUCGAGGAACUACCCUCCUGCUUGACAAAUUACAGGAGCGAAAAAGCCACGUAUCAGAGGAGACUUCAGGAAAAUUAAGCCUGACAGUCUCUCCAAACAACUUUGUGCACAUAUUAAGUAAAGGAGGAGGUACUGCUUACACCUAAAACCUAAUCUCAGAUGAAUUAUGGAGUGAAUAUAACUACUACUGAGCUAAAUGUUAAAAACAAAUGUGUAAGAUCUCAUAAAGACAAUACAUGCAAUAUUU